UGACGGUACCACUUGAAUAAGCUCCGGCUAACUACGUGCCAGCAGCCGCGGUAAUACGUAGGGAGCAAGCGUUAUCCGGAUUUACUGGGUGUAAAGGGAGCGUAGGCGGUGAUGCAAGUCAGAAGUGAAAACCCGUGGCUCAACCAUGAGGAUUGCUUUUGGAACUGUUGGACUAGAGUGCAGGAGGGGUAAGUGGAAUUCCCAGUGUAGCGGUGAAAUGCUUAGAUAUUGGGAGGAACACCAGUGGCGAAGGCGGCUUACUGGACUGUAACUGACGCUGAGGCUCGAAAGCGUGGGGAGCAAACAGGAUUAGAUACCCUG
This 321-nucleotide ribosomal RNA is filed under the name uncultured bacterium. RNAcentral's name for it is "bacterial SSU rRNA". It matches the Rfam family "Bacterial small subunit ribosomal RNA", at positions 470 to 789 of the family's 1533-position model. The record is from RNAcentral.